AUUGAACGCUGGCGGCAGGCCUAACACAUGCAAGUCGAGCGGCUGCAGGGUGCUUGCUCCUGGUUUCAGCGGCGGACGGGUGAGUAAUGCCUAGGAAUCUGCCUGGUAGUGGGGGAUAACGUCCGGACACGGGCGCUAAUACCGCAUACGUCCUGAGGGCGUAAGUGGGGGAUCUUCGGACCUCACGCUAUCAGAUGAGCCUAGGUCGGAUUAGCUAGUUGGUGGGGUAAAGGCCUACCAAGGCGACGAUCCGUAACUGGUCUGAGAGGAUGAUCAGUCACACUGGAACUGAGACACGGUCCAGACUCCUACGGGAGGCAGCAGUGGGGAAUAUUGGACAAUGGGCGAAAGCCUGAUCCAGCCAUGCCGCGUGUGUGAAGAAGGUCUUCGGAUUGUAAAGCACUUUAAGUGGGGAGGAAGGGCAGUAAGUUAAUACCUUGCUGUUUUGACGGUACCAACAGAAUAAGCACCGGCUAACUUCGUG
RNAcentral lists this ribosomal RNA (484 nucleotides) under uncultured bacterium. RNAcentral describes it as "partial 16S ribosomal RNA". It matches the Rfam family "Bacterial small subunit ribosomal RNA", at positions 30 to 507 of the family's 1533-position model. The record is from RNAcentral.